This is an RNA transcript of Tripterygium wilfordii, 1694 nucleotides long. It is a transcript of the gene named glutathione S-transferase T3-like, with no coding region annotated. The record is from RefSeq and is a predicted model, not a curated record. Lineage: Eukaryota; Viridiplantae; Streptophyta; Magnoliopsida; Celastrales; Celastraceae. The transcript is spliced from 3 exons.
CCAACAAGAGUCGUAAAGCAGUUCGUAAAUGGAUAACGGACGAUUUGCAUACCCAUUUCGUCAUUUUCGUCAAGCCAACAGAGGUCGCAAACCAAUUCAGAAAUUUACGACCCCAUUUCUGGUUCCCAUAUUUGCGACUCUGGCAAGGAGAGAGACGAAGGUCGCAAACCAGCGCGGGUGUUGAGCAACGGCUAUGAAUAGUGCCAAAAACCAGGUGCCGUACGGUGGCCGAACCGGAAAGGAAGGGGACAGCGAACCAAGAGGCCAAAGGUUGCUUGCUAACUCUCAGCCACUUGUUAGAAGGAAGUGCAGCUUUAUUGUCGGGGGGAAUCAACAGGAAGGAAAAAAGAAGGUAGAUUUUUCUAUUCUAUUUCCUCCUUUGAUAAGGAUUGGCUUUAAGUGAUAGAGGAUGUGAUUGGAAUUAAUUUUUUAUUUGGGUAAUUUUAUUGUGUCAACAUACUUGUGUGCGUUUACUUUUGAUUAUGGCCUAUGCAGUUGAUGACUUUAUUUUUCUGUAGAACAACUUGUGUUGAUGGAUUGGUUAGUGGCUUUAAGAAUUAAGGCUCAUUCUAAACGUAGUUUGGGUUCUAUAGAUGAAUAUUAGUUCGUUUAAUAUUUUCUUAUGGGUAAUUGUUGUGCUGUUUGAACAGAGCUUGGGUUUGAUGGUGAAGUUGAGCAAUCUUUGGGUUUGAAUUGAUUGGUUUAACUUCGACAUAUAUAUAGAUUACAAAUAACUUGUCAGAGUAAAACCAACUUGAUGAAUUCAUGCGUGAUGUUUUGAAAGCUCUGAAUUGGUUAUAUGGGCUUAUUAUCUAUAUUGUUGAAUUGUUUCUUCAAUUUGAUCAGAUAUGAAUUCCCUAUACAAUUCAUAUGCAUCGUUGCUCAUGAGUGAUGAAUUAGACGAUGAUCAUCAUAUUGAUCAAUUGGAUUCACAAAUUCCAUCCGAGGUUGUGCCUUCAACAAGAACUAGUCGAAGAAGUCAAAAUUUCUCAAUUGACGAUGAUAAACUCCUUGUGUCCGCUUGGCUAAAUACCAGCAAAGAUUCAAUUCAAGGGAAUGCUCAAAAUUCUAACAGAUAUUGGCAAAGAAUUAAUGAAUUUUUCAACACCCAUGGAGGCCCCCGCACCCAAGCAUCGCUAAAACAAAGGUGGAAUGACAUUAACAAGAAGUGUCAAAAAUUUUCUGGAUAUUUAAGCCAAAUUGAAGGAAGACACCCUAGCGGACAAAUCGAACAAGGAAUGAGAGCCCUAAAACUCCAGCUGCAUUCCGUCUCUGGACAAAAUAUGCAUCAUUCGCUACCACAGCAUUUGCAAUAUGGAGAAAAAGAUUUCGACUCAUUCGAAAUCUUCUCCUGAAUAGACCUUCGUGGUAAAUAGGAUCUGGCUUGAAAUAGUCAUUCCACAAUCUGGAGUGACCGUCAACAUGAUUACGUUGAACAAUUCUAUGGCCUGGAAUGGAACCACGGUGGCCAGUUCGUCUCCUCCCAUUUGCUUCUUGAUCAUCUGUCUCUCGUGCAUUAAAAAGCUGCUCCAACUCAUCUUCAGAGUCGGACUCAAAGGCAAGGAAUUCCCUCAAAAUCUCAGAACUAACAUUUGGGUGAUCCAUGGAGAAGUUUGAAGUUUGUGAUAAGAUUUUUAUGUAAAAUACACAAUGAUUUGACACAAAAUGAUGAAUGAAGGCUACACAUAUUUAUA